Molecule: ribosomal RNA, 2210 nt
Filed under: Salmonella enterica subsp. enterica serovar Heidelberg
Lineage: Bacteria; Pseudomonadati; Pseudomonadota; Gammaproteobacteria; Enterobacterales; Enterobacteriaceae
Description: partial 23S ribosomal RNA
Rfam family: Bacterial large subunit ribosomal RNA
Source: RNAcentral
GGGUUGUGAGGUUAAGCGACUAAGCGUACACGGUGGAUGCCCUGGCAGUCAGAGGCGAUGAAGGGCGUGCUAAUCUGCGAUAAGCGCCGGUAAGGUGAUAUGAACCGUUAUAACCGGCGAUACCCGAAUGGGGAAACCCAGUGUGACUCGUCACACUAUCAUUAACUGAAUCCAUAGGUUAAUGAGGCGAACCGGGGGAACUGAAACAUCUAAGUACCCCGAGGAAAAGAAAUCAACCGAGAUUCCCCCAGUAGCGGCGAGCGAACGGGGAGGAGCCCAGAGCCUGAAUCAGCAUGUGUGUUAGUGGAAGCGUCUGGAAAGGCGCGCGAUACAGGGUGACAGCCCCGUACACAAAAGCGCAUGUGCUGUGAGCUCGAUGAGUAGGGCGGGACACGUGGUAUCCUGUCUGAAUAUGGGGGGACCAUCCUCCAAGGCUAAAUACUCCUGACUGACCGAUAGUGAACCAGUACCGUGAGGGAAAGGCGAAAAGAACCCCGGCGAGGGGAGUGAAAAAGAACCUGAAACCGUGUACGUACAAGCAGUGGGAGCACCCUUUGGGGUGUGACUGCGUACCUUUUGUAUAAUGGGUCAGCGACUUAUAUUCUGUAGCAAGGUUAACCGUAUAGGGGAGCCGUAGGGAAACCGAGUCUUAACCGGGCGUUAAGUUGCAGGGUAUAGACCCGAAACCCGGUGAUCUAGCCAUGGGCAGGUUGAAGGUUGGGUAACACUAACUGGAGGACCGAACCGACUAAUGUUGAAAAAUUAGCGGAUGACCUGUGGCUGGGGGUGAAAGGCCAAUCAAACCGGGAGAUAGCUGGUUCUCCCCGAAAGCUAUUUAGGUAGCGCCUCGUGAAUUCAUCUCCGGGGGUAGAGCACUGUUUCGGCUAGGGGGCCAUCCCGGCUUACCAACCCGAUGCAAACUGCGAAUACCGGAGAAUGUUAUCACGGGAGACACACGGCGGGUGCUAACGUCCGUCGUGAAGAGGGAAACAACCCAGACCGCCAGCUAAGGUCCCAAAGUCAUGGUUAAGUGGGAAACGAUGUGGGAAGGCCCAGACAGCCAGGAUGUUGGCUUAGAAGCAGCCAUCAUUUAAAGAAAGCGUAAUAGCUCACUGGUCGAGUCGGCCUGCGCGGAAGAUGUAACGGGGCUAAACCAUGCACCGAAGCUGCGGCAGCGAACGUAUCACCCAAGACAACUUUACGGAGUUGACGAUUGACGGAGCGAAGCGACGUCAAAGCGUUCAUUAAAGUCGAGUUGGCUUAGGGAUACGUUCGUUGGGUAGGGGAGCGUUCUGUAAGCCUGUGAAGGUGUGUCGUGAGGCAUGCUGGAGGUAUCAGAAGUGCGAAUGCUGACAUAAGUAACGAUAAAGCGGGUGAAAAGCCCGCUCGCCGGAAGACCAAGGGUUCCUGUCCAACGUUAAUCGGGGCAGGGUGAGUCGACCCCUAAGGCGAGGCCGAAAGGCGUAGUCGAUGGGAAACGGGUUAAUAUUCCCGUACUUGGUGUUACUGCGAAGGGGGGACGGAGAAGGCUAUGUUGGCCGGGCGACGGUUGUCCCGGUUUAAGCGUGUAGGUGUGUGUUCCAGGUAAAUCCGGUUCACUUUAACACUGAGGCGUGACGACGAGGCACUACGGUGCUGAAGCAACAAAUGCCCUGCUUCCAGGAAAAGCCUCUAAGCAUCAGGUAACAUCAAAUCGUACCCCAAACCGACACAGGUGGUCAGGUAGAGAAUACCAAGGCGCUUGAGAGAACUCGGGUGAAGGAACUAGGCAAAAUGGUGCCGUAACUUCGGGAGAAGGCACGCUGACACGUAGGUGAAGUGAUUUACUCAUGGAGCUGAAGUCAGUCGAAGAUACCAGCUGGCUGCAACUGUUUAUUAAAAACACAGCACUGUGCAAACACGAAAGUGGACGUAUACGGUGUGACGCCUGCCCGGUGCCGGAAGGUUAAUUGAUGGGGUCAGCGCAAGCGAAGCUCCUGAUCGAAGCCCCGGUAAACGGCGGCCGUAACUAUAACGGUCCUAAGGUAGCGAAAUUCCUUGUCGGGUAAGUUCCGACCUGCACGAAUGGCGUAAUGAUGGCCAGGCUGUCUCCACCCGAGACUCAGUGAAAUUGAACUCGCUGUGAAGAUGCAGUGUACCCGCGGCAAGACGGAAAGACCCCGUGAACCUUUACUAUAGCUUGACACUGAACAUUGAGCCUUGAUGUGUAG